RNAcentral lists this ribosomal RNA (465 nucleotides) under Vreelandella stevensii. Its description in RNAcentral is "partial 16S ribosomal RNA". It matches the Rfam family "Bacterial small subunit ribosomal RNA", at positions 338 to 795 of the family's 1533-position model. The record is from RNAcentral. Lineage: Bacteria; Pseudomonadati; Pseudomonadota; Gammaproteobacteria; Oceanospirillales; Halomonadaceae.
CCUACGGGUGGCUGCAGUGGGGAAUAUUGGACAAUGGGAGCAACCCUGAUCCAGCCAUGCCGCGUGUGUGAAGAAGGCCCUCGGGUUGUAAAGCACUUUCAGUGAGGAAGAACGCCUGGUGGUUAAUACCCAUCAGGAAAGACAUCACUCACAGAAGAAGCACCGGCUAACUCCGUGCCAGCAGCCGCGGUAAUACGGAGGGUGCGAGCGUUAAUCGGAAUUACUGGGCGUAAAGCGCGCGUAGGUGGCUUGAUAAGCCGGUUGUGAAAGCCCCGGGCUCAACCUGGGAACGGCAUCCGGAACUGUCAAGCUAGAGUGCAGGAGAGGAAGGUAGAAUUCCCGGUGUAGCGGUGAAAUGCGUAGAGAUCGGGAGGAAUACCAGUGGCGAAGGCGGCCUUCUGGACUGACACUGACACUGAGGUGCGAAAGCGUGGGUAGCAAACAGGAUUAGAUACCCUGGUAGUC